This 403-nucleotide ribosomal RNA is filed under the name uncultured bacterium. Its description in RNAcentral is "bacterial SSU rRNA". It matches the Rfam family "Bacterial small subunit ribosomal RNA", at positions 355 to 774 of the family's 1533-position model. The record is from RNAcentral.
UGGGGAAUUUUGGACAAUGGACGCAAGUCUGAUCCAGCCAUGCCGCGUGCGGGAAGAAGGCCUUCGGAUUGUAAACCGCUGUCACUGGGGACGAAUUUUGACGGUACCUGGAGAGGAAGACACGGCUAACUACGUGCCAGCAGCCGCGGUAAUACGUAGGGUGCGAGCGUUAAUCGGAAUUACUGGGCGUAAAGCGUGCGCAGGCGGUUAUGUAAGACAGAUGUGAAAUCCCCGGGCUCAACCUGGGAACUGCGUUUGUGACUGCAUAACUAGAGUACGGCAGAGGGAGGUGGAAUUCCGCGUGUAGCAGUGAAAUGCGUAGAUAUGCGGAGGAACACCGAUGGCGAAGGCAGCCUCCUGGGCCAGUACUGACGCUCAUGCACGAAAGCGUGGGGAGCAAACA